RNAcentral lists this ribosomal RNA (497 nucleotides) under uncultured bacterium. RNAcentral's name for it is "partial 16S ribosomal RNA". It matches the Rfam family "Bacterial small subunit ribosomal RNA", at positions 28 to 507 of the family's 1533-position model. The record is from RNAcentral.
GAUGAGCGCUGGCGGCGUGCCUAAUACAUGCAAGUCGAGCGAACAGACGAGGAGCUUGCUCCUCUGACGUUAGCGGCGGACGGGUGAGUAACACGUGGAUAACCUACCUAUAAGACUGGGAUAACUUCGGGAAACCGGAGCUAAUACCGGAUAAUAUAUUGAACCGCAUGGUUCAAUAGUGAAAGACGGUUUUGCUGUCACUUAUAGAUGGAUCCGCGCCGCAUUAGCUAGUUGGUAAGGUAACGGCUUACCAAGGCGACGAUGCGUAGCCGACCUGAGGGGGUGAUCGGCCACACUGGAACUGAGACACGGUCCAGACUCCUACGGGAGGCAGCAGUAGGGAAUCUUCCGCAAUGGGCGAAAGCCUGACGGAGCAACGCCGCGUGAGUGAUGAAGGUCUUCGGAUCGUAAAACUCUGUUAUUAGGGAAGAACAAAUGUGUAAGUAACUAUGCACGUCUUGACGGUACCUAAUCAGAAAGCCACGGCUAACUACGUG